GAAAGCGAAGAAACUUACAACAAAGAGUCCCUCCCGACUGUUUACCAAAAACACAGCACUCUGCUAACUCGUAAGAGGAUGUAUAGGGUGUGACGCCUGCCCGGUGCUCGAAGGUUAAUUGAUGGGGUUAGCAUUAGCGAAGCUCUUGAUCGAAGCCCGAGUAAACGGCGGCCGUAACUAUAACGGUCCUAAGGUAGCGAAAUUCCUUGUCGGUUAAAUACCGACCUGCAUGAAUGGCGUAACGAGAUGGGAGCUGUCUCAAAGAGGGAUCCAGUGAAAUUGUAGUGGAGGUGAAAAUUCCUCCUACCCGCGGCAAGACGGAAAGACCCCGUGGACCUUUACUACAGCUUGACACUGCUAUUUGGAUAAGAAUGUGCAGGAUAGGUGGGAGGCUUUGAGUAUAUGACGCCAGUUGUAUAUGAGCCGUUGUUGAGAUACCACUCUUUCUUAUUUGGGUAGCUAACCAGCUUGAGUUAUCCUCAAGUGGGACAAUGUCUGGUGGGUAGUUUGACUGGGGCGGUCGCCUCCCAAAUAAUAACGGAGGCUUACAAAGGUUGGCUCAGAACGGUUGGAAAUCGUUCGUAGAGUAUAAAGGUAUAAGCCAGCUUAACUGCAAGACAUACAAGUCAAGCAGAGACGAAAGUCGGUCUUAGUGAUCCGGUGGUUCUGUGUGGAAGGGCCAUCGCUCAAAGGAUAAAAGGUACCCCGGGGAUAACAGGCUGAUCUCCCCCAAGAGCUCACAUCGACGGGGAGGUUUGGCACCUCGAUGUCGGCUCAUCGCAUCCUGGGGCUGGAGCAGGUCCCAAGGGUAUGGCUGUUCGCCAUUUAAAGCGGUACGCGAGCUGGGUUCAGAACGUCGUGAGACAGUUCGGUCCCUAUCUGCCGUGGGCGUAAGAAGAUUGAAGAGAUUUGACCCUAGUACGAGAGGACCGGGUUGAACAAACCACUGGUGUAGCUGUUGUUCUGCCAAGAGCAUCGCAGCGUAGCUAAGUUUGGAACGGAUAAACGCUGAAAGCAUCUAAGCGUGAAGCCAACUCUAAGAUGAAUCUUCUCUAAGCUCUCUAGAAGACUACUAGUUUGAUAGGCUGGGUGUGUAAUGGAUGAAAGUCCUUUAGCUGACCAGUACUAAUAGAGCGUUUGGCUUAUCUUAUUUAAGCAU
This 1159-nucleotide ribosomal RNA is filed under the name Campylobacter lari. RNAcentral describes it as "partial 23S ribosomal RNA". It matches the Rfam family "Bacterial large subunit ribosomal RNA", at positions 1763 to 2925 of the family's 2925-position model. The record is from RNAcentral. Lineage: Bacteria; Pseudomonadati; Campylobacterota; Epsilonproteobacteria; Campylobacterales; Campylobacteraceae.